This 441-nucleotide ribosomal RNA is filed under the name uncultured bacterium. RNAcentral describes it as "partial 16S ribosomal RNA". It matches the Rfam family "Bacterial small subunit ribosomal RNA", at positions 338 to 795 of the family's 1533-position model. The record is from RNAcentral.
CCUACGGGUGGCAGCAGUGGGGAAUAUUGGGCAAUGGGCGCAAGCCUGACCCAGCAACGCCGCGUGAAGGAAGAAGGCUUUCGGGUUGUAAACUUCUUUUAAGAGGGAAGAGCAGAAGACGGUACCUCUUGAAUAAGCCACGGCUAACUACGUGCCAGCAGCCGCGGUAAUACGUAGGUGGCAAGCGUUGUCCGGAUUUACUGGGUGUAAAGGGUGCGUAGGCGGGCAUUUAAGCCGGCGGUAAAAUGUCGGGGCUCAACCCCGGCCUGCCGUCGGAACUGGGUGCCUUGAGUGGGCGAGAGGUAUGCGGAAUGCGUGGUGUAGCGGUGAAAUGCAUAGAUAUCACGCAGAACCCCGAUUGCGAAGGCAGCAUACCGGCGCCCUACUGACGCUGAGGCACGAAAGUGCGGGUAUCGAACAGGAUUAGAUACCCUAGUAGUG